Molecule: small RNA, 127 nt
Filed under: Marmota monax (woodchuck)
Lineage: Eukaryota; Metazoa; Chordata; Mammalia; Rodentia; Sciuridae
Source: RNAcentral
GCUGGGCGUAAUGGCACACGCCUGUAAUCCCAGCCACUUGGGAGGCUGAGGCAGGAGGAUGGUAAGUUAGAGGCCAGCCUUAGCAACUUAGUGAGGCCCUAAGCAGCUUAGCGAGACCCUGUCUCAA